RNAcentral lists this transfer RNA (76 nucleotides) under Magnetococcales bacterium. Its description in RNAcentral is "tRNA-Arg". It matches the Rfam family "tRNA". From Rfam's summary of the family: Transfer RNA (tRNA) molecules are approximately 80 nucleotides in length. The record is from RNAcentral. Lineage: Bacteria; Pseudomonadati; Pseudomonadota; Magnetococcia; Magnetococcales.
GCGCCCGUAGCUCAACGGAUAGAGCAACGGCCUUCUAAGCCGUAGGUUGCAGGUUCGAGUCCUGCCGGGCGCGCCA